This 222-nucleotide ribosomal RNA is filed under the name uncultured bacterium. RNAcentral describes it as "partial 16S ribosomal RNA". It matches the Rfam family "Bacterial small subunit ribosomal RNA", at positions 1282 to 1500 of the family's 1533-position model. The record is from RNAcentral.
UAGAUCUCAGUUCGGAUUGCAGGCUGCAACCCGCCCUGCAUGAAGUCGGAAUCGCUAGUAAUCGCGGGUCAGCAUACCGCGGUGAAUACGUUCCCGGGCCUUGUACACACCGCCCGUCACACCACGAAAGUUGGUAACACCCGAAGCCGGUGGCCUAACCCUUAGGGGAGGGAGCUGUCGAAGGUGGGACUGAUGAUUGGGGUGAAGUCGUAACAAGGUAAC